UUACAUUUACAAGGAGGGCCAUAACGAGAAAAUUAUUACGGGUGGUCCCAUUUCCAUUUGUUUGUUGGCAGUUGCAGCAAUUAUUUAUAGAGCACCGAUUUUACAGAUGUGAAAUUGAUUGUUUGGAACUGGCAGGCAGCAAGGUGGGAUGAGAUUAUAUUUAGUUGCAGGUCAUGGUGGUUAAAGUAAAUCACAAGAUAAGUUACCUG
RNAcentral lists this long non-coding RNA (209 nucleotides) under Prunus dulcis (almond). RNAcentral describes it as "sRNA ncRNA". Lineage: Eukaryota; Viridiplantae; Streptophyta; Magnoliopsida; Rosales; Rosaceae. The record is from RNAcentral.